This 3016-nucleotide small RNA is filed under the name Pongo abelii (Sumatran orangutan). Its description in RNAcentral is "retained intron". Lineage: Eukaryota; Metazoa; Chordata; Mammalia; Primates; Hominidae. The record is from RNAcentral.
CGACUGGCAGCUCACCAACCUGAGCUUCCUCCAGGACUGCUCCUCAGAGACGUCUCUGCCAUCUGUUCUGACGCCUAGAUUCAGGGUUGCCUUGAUUGCCCAGGAGACCUGAGCACUGCUUGAGGCUGGAGACAUGUGCUUUUUGGACCCUGGCUGCAACCAGAAGCACUGGUGGCCCCCGGGGUCCUAUGUGGUGUCCUAUGACAGGGGAACGUAUAGGGAUGGGGGUCAAAUUGGAGAAGGUGGGGCAGUGCCUGGGAAGCAGGCACAGCCCCAUUCUGCUGCCACGUCUCCUCCUGACUCCUCCCUGUCCUCCUACCCCCACUUCAGGAUAGCCCUGCCUUCUCUCCCCUCCUGCACCUCUUCUGUUGUCUUGCAGCCUCUGCCGCCCCUGCUCUUCCUGUUUCAUUGGGUGGUGCUCUCUUCUGCCUGUUGUGACCUCCCUGGACCCUGUUUUAUUUGCAGGUUUUUGCCACCAGACAAGCUCUGUUCCCUGAUUCAUUCUUUUUUUGUUUUUUUUGAGACAGGGUCUCACUCUGUUGCCCAGGGUGACAGAGUGCAAUGGCACCAUCAUAGCUCACUACAGUCUCAAACUCCUGCUGACCCAUUCUUGUAUCUGGAACAAGGGGCUGGAGGCGCAGAGGUUCUGUGCCCAGGCUGGUGGGGCUGGUGGCUCCUUGGGCAUCUCCUGUUAGGGGCCCAGGAGCUUCUAUGUCUAAGGGAGAUGUGGGGCUUUCUUUUCCCCUCAAGGACCUGAUCCAGGCACACCUGUGCUGCAUCCUCGUCACCUCCUACCCAGUGCCUGCUGCCACUUGGAUGGCCCCCAGGUUAGAUAUUUUGUGACUUCCAGGUCCCUUGUCGCGGCUAAUAGGACAUGUUCUUUUGUUUCAGGAUAGAUCACUGCGACCAGAGGAAAUUGAAGGUAAAACUGUGCCCCUUGGGGGAAAGGACUGCCUAGCCCUCUAGGAAGGUGUGGGAAGGGAGGUUGAUGGGAAGAGAGGCCCCUGGGAAUGGGGCCUGGUGCAACGCGGGGUAUCUUCUGUGAAACCAGCUGCUGAAGGCGUGCACAGGAGGCAAGAGAAGUGCCCCAGCAUCCUGGGAAGCUCCUGGGUCUCUCUUUCCAUGCCUGUGGGCCUUUGGGCUGCCUUUGCCCACAGGGUCUCUGCGGGUCCUACCCCCGACCACAUCCACCCUUGCUCACUUCCCCAGAGCUCCGAGAGGCCUUCAGAGAAUUUGACAAGGACAAGGAUGGCUACAUCAACUGCCGGGACCUGGGCAACUGCAUGCGCACCAUGGGCUACAUGCCCACCGAGAUGGAGCUCAUCGAACUGUCCCAGCAGAUCAACAUGAACCUGGGUGGCCAUGUAGAUUUUGAUGACUUCGUGGAGCUAAUGGGGCCUAAACUCCUGGCAGAGACAGCAGAUAUGAUUGGUGUAAAGGAACUGCGAGAUGCUUUCCGAGAGGUAACGGACAGAGGCAGGCAGGCAUGGGGCGGCUAUUGGAAUCCUAUCUGCAGUAUAAAUACUUCAAAAGAAGCCUGAGCCCCAAGUCCCAGAUCAGGGGAGGGAGCUUGGACAGAGAAAGGUCUCUGGUAAAGGGGGGCAAUGACACUGGAGAAGGAGCUCAACUUCCCAAAGUUGCCAAUUGCCAUGUUGGGGCGACCUCUCCUCCCUUCUUGCCUUCUCUAGUUUGACACCAACGGUGAUGGGGAAAUAAGCACCAGUGAGCUGCGAGAGGCUAUGAGGAAGCUCCUGGGUCAUCAGGUGGGACACCGAGACAUAGAGGAAAUUAUCCGAGAUGUGGACCUCAAUGGGGAUGGACGAGUGGACUUUGAAGGUAGGUGGGGCUUGAAAGUGGGAGAGAAGCAAGCCAGCAGUGGCCAUCCAUGGAGCCAUCCAAUUGUGUAUCCAUCAUGCAACCAUCAGUCCACCCUAACUUUCCAACCCCCAGCCCUUUCAUCCUCCUAUCCCUCCAUCCAUGCCCCCGUCUAAUCCACCUCCAAUCCCUUCCCCUUGCAUCUAUUCAUGCAUCUGUCCAUCCAUCCGUCUAUCCAUCCUCUACCUUUCCAUUCAUCUGUGCAUUUAUCCAUCCAUUCAUCUACCUAUCUAUCCAUCUGUCCAUCAUCCAUCCAUCCAUCCAUUUAUCUACCCAUCUAUCCAUCCAUCCAUCCUCUACCUAUCCAUCCGUCUGUCCAUUUAUCCAUUCAUCCAUUCAUCUACCUAUCUAUCUGUCCAUUAUCCAUCCAUCCAUUUAUCCAUUCAUCCAUCCAUCCAUCCAUCCAUUCGUCUACAUAGCUAUCCAUCCAUCCAUCCAUCUACCUAUCCAUCCAUCUGUCCAUCCAUUCAUCUACCUAUUCAUCUAUCUGUCCAUCUUUCCAUAUCUAUCUCUCCAUCUUUUCAUCUGUUUAUCUCCUUAUCUGUCCAGAUGCCUAUUUAUCCAUUCCUCCAUCUCUAAACAAUCAUUCCUAUAGCAAUUUAUCCAUGCAUUUAUCUGUCCAUUCGUGCAUCUAUUCAUUCUUCUCUACAUUCACCCAUGAAUCUAUCUACGUAUUCAUCUACUCAUAUAGAUCUCUCUCUGUGUUCAUACUUCUAAACUUCCAUUCACACACUCAUGUCUCUUUGUCUGCAUAUACUUCUACCCAUACUUGCCUUGAUCUAUCCAUCUGUUCAGUCAUUUCCCCAUCUAUAUCCAUCUACUCAUCCAUUCACCCAUCCCUGUGUCCAUCUGCACCCAUCCUUCUCUAUCCAUUUAUCUGUCUACCCAUGCACGCAUCCGUCCACAGUAGGUGUUUUCUGAACAUUACGUUCCUCAACUUGACGCUCAGGCUCCCUAAGAUCUGAUCACAGCUCACCUCCCCAGCCACAACUCACAGUCCUUCAUUCACACUCCACCAAAAUACUUGUGAUCAGUGAAGCUGCUAGGGUCCCUCUUGAAUACACUGAUCUUUUUGCCAGGAGGGCUUUUUUGUUGUUGUUUGUUUGAGACAGAGUCUCACUCUGUUGCCCAGGCUGGAGUG